Molecule: ribosomal RNA, 418 nt
Filed under: uncultured bacterium
Lineage: Bacteria
Description: bacterial SSU rRNA
Rfam family: Bacterial small subunit ribosomal RNA
Source: RNAcentral
AACGAACGCUGGCGGCGCGCCUAACACAUGCAAGUCGAACGAGAAUCCGGGGCAACCCGGUAGUAAAGUGGCAAACGGGUGAGGAAUACAUGGGUAACCUACCCUUGAGAAGGGAAUAACCCGCCGAAAGGUGAGCUAAUACCCUAUACGCUAUCUUUUUUUCGAAAAGGAUAGGAAAGCCGGGUCGAGGACCUGGUACUCAAGGGAGGGGCUCAUGUCCUAUCAGCUUGUUGGUGGGGUAACGGCCUACCAAGGCUACGACGGGUAGCUGGUCUGAGAGGAUGAUCAGCCACACUGGCACUGAGAUACGGGCCAGACUCCUACGGGAGGCAGCAGUGAGGAAUAUUGCGCAAUGGGCAAAGCCUGACGCAGCGACGCCGCGUGGGGGAUGAAGGUUUUCGGAUUGUAAACCCCUUUC